RNAcentral lists this ribosomal RNA (436 nucleotides) under Thraustochytriidae sp. RNAcentral's name for it is "SSU rRNA". It matches the Rfam family "Eukaryotic small subunit ribosomal RNA", at positions 994 to 1449 of the family's 1831-position model. The record is from RNAcentral. Lineage: Eukaryota; Bigyra; Thraustochytrida; Thraustochytriidae.
GGGAUCGAAGAUGCUUAGAUACCAUCGUAGUCCUAACCAUAAACUAUGCCGACUGAGGAUUCUUGAAAUUUGUAAAUGAAUUUAAGAGCACUCCAUGAGAAAUCAAAGUCUUUGGGUUCCGGGGGGAGUAUGGUCGCAAGUCUGAAACUUAAAGGAAUUGACGGAAGGGCACCACCAGGAGUGGAGCCUGCGGCUUAAUUUGACUCAACACGGGGAAACUUACCAGGUCCAGACAUAGGAAGGAUUGACAGAUUGAGAGCUCGUUCUUGAUUCUAUGGGUGGUGGUGCAUGGCCGUUCUUAGUUGGUGGAGUGAUUUGUCUGGUUGAUUCCGUUAACGAACGAGACCACAGCCUACUAAAUAGUGCGCGUUGUGGCGACACAGUGAGGAGGCACUUCUUAGAGGGACACUGUGGGUUUACCGGAAGGAAGUUCGUG